UUGUUGCGGUUAAAACGCUCGUAGUUGGAUAUUUGUUGAGAACUGCCGGUCUACCCCAGUGGUCAGCACACGGUUUGUUCUCGGCACUUUCCUGGGGAGAGUGUUUGCACUUCACUGUGUGGCACAUGAUCCAGAACUUUUACUUUGAGGAAAUGAGAGUGUUUCACGCAGGCGCCUGUCGUGAAUACGUUAGCAUGGAAUAAUAGCAUGGGACCGCGGUCUGAAGCUGUUGGUUUUUGGGCCGUGGUAAUAGAAAUAGGGAUAGUUGGGGGUAUUCGUAUUUAACUGUCAGAGGUGAAAUUCUUGGAUUUUCUAAAGACGGACUACUGCGAAAGCAUCUGCCCAGGAUGUUUUUAUUGAUCAAGAACGAAAGUUAGGGGAUCGAAGACGAUCAGAUACCGUCCUAGUCUUAACCUUAAACCAUGCCGACUAGAGAUUUGGGUCGUCAGAAUCGUGACGCCCUGAGCACCUUAGGGGAAACCAAAGUCUUCGGGUUCCGGGGGGAGUAUGGUCGCAAGGCUGAAACUUAAAGGAAUUGACGGAAGGGCACCACCAGGAGUGGAGCCUGCGGCUUAAUUUGACUCAACACGGGGAAACUU
This 599-nucleotide ribosomal RNA is filed under the name uncultured marine eukaryote. RNAcentral describes it as "SSU rRNA". It matches the Rfam family "Eukaryotic small subunit ribosomal RNA", at positions 610 to 1216 of the family's 1831-position model. The record is from RNAcentral.